GACGAACGCUGGCGGCAUGCCUAAUACAUGCAAGUCGAGCGAACAGAUGGAGUGCUUGCACUUCUGACGUUAGCGGCGAACGGGUGAGUAACACGUAAGGAAUCUACCUAUAAGCGGGGGAUAACAUUCGGAAACGGGUGCUAAUACCGCAUAAUAUCUUCUUCCGCAUGGAAGAAGAUUGAAAGACGGCUCUGCUGUCACUUAUAGUUGACCUUGCGGUGCAUUAGUUAGUUGGUGGGGUAACGGCCUACCAAGACGAUGAUGCAUAGCCGACGUGAGAGGGUGAUCGGCCACAUUGGGACUGCGACACGGCCCAAACUCCUACGGGAGUCAGCGGUAGGGAAUCUUCCGCAAUGGGCGAAAGCCUGACGGAGCAAUGCCGCGUGAGUGAAGAAGGCCAUCGGGUCGUAAAACUCUGUUAUAAGAGAAGAACAAAUUGUAGAGUAACUGCUACAGUCUUGACGGUAUCUUAUCAGAAAGCCACGGCUAACUACGUGCCAGCCGCCGCGGUAA
Molecule: ribosomal RNA, 513 nt
Filed under: uncultured bacterium
Lineage: Bacteria
Description: partial 16S ribosomal RNA
Rfam family: Bacterial small subunit ribosomal RNA
Source: RNAcentral